This 180-nucleotide non-coding RNA is filed under the name Nitrospirota bacterium. RNAcentral describes it as "Nitrospirae bacterium 6S RNA". It matches the Rfam family "6S / SsrS RNA". Rfam says of the family: E. coli 6S RNA was the first non coding RNA to be sequenced, but its function was unknown until recently. It consists of 184 nucleotides that fold into an extended hairpin structure with a large single-stranded internal bulge. The 6S RNA specifically associates with RNA polymerase holoenzyme containing the sigma70 specificity factor. The record is from RNAcentral. Lineage: Bacteria; Pseudomonadati; Nitrospirota.
GAUGCCCUGCCUUACGCGUGAUGGGAAGAUUUUCUCUGAACCAACACGAUCUUCUUGGGAGGACGGUCUGUUGCCGGUGUGCAUGCUCUCCCCGGAGAGAAGCCUGAAGGCAGUCAGCCUACUCCCGACCUGUUCAUGACAGGUUCAAGAAGACGACCCACACGGUAAGGCGGGGUCCCU